Molecule: ribosomal RNA, 342 nt
Filed under: uncultured soil bacterium
Lineage: Bacteria
Description: bacterial SSU rRNA
Rfam family: Bacterial small subunit ribosomal RNA
Source: RNAcentral
AGAUUGAACGCUGGCGGCAUGCCUUACACAUGCAAGUCGAACGGCAGCACGGGAGCAAUCCUGGUGGCGAGUGGCGAACGGGUGAGCAAUACAUCGGAACGUGCCCAAUCGUGGGGGAUAACGCAGCGAAGCUGUGCUAAUACCGCAUAAGAUCUACGGAUGAAAGCAGGGGAUCGCAAGACCUUGCGCGAAUGGAGCGGCCGAUGGCAGAUUAGGUAGUUGGUGAGGUAAAGGCUCACCAAGCCUUCGGAUCUGUAGCUGGUCUGAGAGGACGACCAGCCACACUGGGACUGAGACACGGCCCAGACUCCUACGGGAGGCAGCAGUGGGGAAUUUGGACAA